Cynoglossus semilaevis (tongue sole) is the source of this 778-nucleotide long non-coding RNA. RefSeq lists it as uncharacterized. Lineage: Eukaryota; Metazoa; Chordata; Actinopteri; Pleuronectiformes; Cynoglossidae. The record is from RefSeq and is a predicted model, not a curated record. The transcript has 5 exons.
UCUCUCUGUCUCCCUCUCUCUCUCUGCCUCUCUGUGUCUCCCCCUCUGUCUCCCUCUCUCUCUCUCUCGCUCUCUCUCACCACUACAUCAACAGCUCCACCACUCAGCAGAAUCUGCAGUGAUGGCACCCAGCAGAACUUCAGCAUGCAGCUGGAUGUGUGUGUGUGUGUCACAGAGGAGAUGAUUGUGUAGAUUUGGUUCUGUUCCCACAGCCUCCUGAGGAACAUCUGUCUCCCAGCACUGAGACACGCAUCAACAUGAGAUCUGUCACCUGACUCACGCACCAACACUGACCUGUAUCAACACUUCAAUGACAGUAAUCAGUGACCUCCAUCCACAGCACCAGUUCCCUGUGUAGGAUCUGUGUGAGCGCAGCUGUCCUACCUCCAUGUGGGUCUCUCCUGAGUGGGGGCCCGACCUCGCUCUCCUGAAGCCACUUCAAAGAGACCUGGGACAGACGUGGGUUUGGAGCUCAGGACAGUCAGCACGGCUGAGGCUGCACCGGCCCCCGACCCCCGGCCCCUGGAGCUGGGUUUGAAGGUAAAACAGCAGGACAGCAGUUCUCUAACGGAGCGGGACAUUCCCUGAGACUGACUCUGAACACACUGCUGCUUCUUCACAUCAUCAGCCCCAGGAUCAGGCGUCCACAGAUACAGGAGAUGCUGGAACACAAGAUGAAGUGAACAAGAAGCAGCACCGCAGCGAUUAACACAACGUCAACACGGCCGUCCGACAGUAAGAUUCCUGCUGAGUCACUGCUUGUGAGGAGGGAGCUCGG